This 692-nucleotide long non-coding RNA is filed under the name Capsicum annuum. RNAcentral describes it as "long non-coding RNA (CANN_LNC018343)". Lineage: Eukaryota; Viridiplantae; Streptophyta; Magnoliopsida; Solanales; Solanaceae. The record is from RNAcentral.
UUGUUUGUGUCAAACUUUUUGUCUAAGUCACUGUUGGUGGAGAAAACUAACUAAAACUAAUUUCUGGUUAUGUUCUGAUGAAAUGCCAGAAAUCACUAAAUUAUAGUCCUUGUACGUUUUUUGUGUUGUGUCCCUUAUGUAAGUCAUUGCAUUGUCUUUCUUUAUAUGAUAGAGAAGUUUUAGGGAUCUUUAGUAUUGCAGACCUUUCAGCAAAAUAUUUGUCUACAUGACAAGAAUUUAGGUGCCCCAUGUCUAUCUUUGCUAACUUCAUGCUUUUCCUCUUUUUUGUUAUCAUUGUGGUUUCACCUCUUUCUACAUAGUGGUAAGAUCUUGAGCGUUCUGUUAUCUGUGGCGGAGCCAUUAUUAUCUGAGGGGUGUCUGAUACCAUGUUGCUGGAGAAUUACACCGUGUGGAUAGGUAAAAAGAAAUUAUGUAUAUAUACUAUGUUAUCGAAUUUCCUUGGCUUUUUCAUUUGUUUACUUCUUCACAUUUUGAAUCCUCUUAGCGAAAAUCCUAGCUCCGUCCACUAGAUAUCUGAAGGACCCGAUCUUCAUUCAGUGAUGGCUGAGGGAUCAAAUGUGUUGGAAAGGAAAGAGAAUUCUAAAGGAGAAAGUGAAGAAAAGCUGCUGCAAUAUUUUUUGUAUUUCUGAUACUUCUUGAAGCCAAUGAGAACUGCCUAUAAAUAAGCUUAC